RNAcentral lists this long non-coding RNA (291 nucleotides) under Chloebia gouldiae (Gouldian finch). Its description in RNAcentral is "Erythrura gouldiae (Gouldian finch) lncRNA (ENSEGOG00005004391.1)". Lineage: Eukaryota; Metazoa; Chordata; Aves; Passeriformes; Passeridae. The record is from RNAcentral.
CGGGCCACUCUCCCCUUUCCGCUCCCGCCGCCAUGAGGGGAGUGUGUCCCUCGUGCGGUCCCGCCGAUGAACGGAUAUCAGCUACACUCCUCCUUCCUGUGCCUUCAGUGCAGAUCUGCCCCCCAAAUGUGGAGACCUAAAGCUACUUCUUCCCAAGGUAAAAAAAAAAUAUUCUUGAAAAUUAAAUAUAAAAUUGUGCUUAGUGUUGAGCUGGAUAGCAUCUUCUGCUCUGAUGAGAUCAGAAGACAGCUUAAUUCCUUGAGUAAAGCUAUCCCUCUGGUGCCACAGUGA